GAUGAACGCUGGCGGCGUGCCUAAUACAUGCAAGUCGAGCGAACGGACGAGAAGCUUGCUUCUCUGAUGUUAGCGGCGGACGGGGGAGUAACACGUGGAUAACCUACCUAUAAGACUGGGAUAACUUCGGGAAACCGUAGCUAAUACCGGAUAAUAUUUUGAACCGCAUGGUUCAAAAGUGAAAGACGGUCUUGCUGUCACUUAUAGAUGGAUCCGCGCUGCAUUAGCUAGUUGGUAAGGUAACGGCUUACCAAGGCAACGAUGCAUAGCCGACCUGAGAGGGUGAUCGGCCACACUGGAACUGAGACACGGUCCAGACUCCUACGGGAGGCAGCAGUAGGGAAUCUUCCGCAAUGGGCGAAAGCCUGACGGAGCAACGCCGCGUGAGUGAUGAAGGUCUUCGGAUCGUAAAACUCUGUUAUUAGGGAAGAACAUAUGUGUAAGUAACUGUGCACGUCUUGACGGUACCUAAACAGAAAGCCACGGCUAACUACGUG
This 497-nucleotide ribosomal RNA is filed under the name uncultured bacterium. Its description in RNAcentral is "partial 16S ribosomal RNA". It matches the Rfam family "Bacterial small subunit ribosomal RNA", at positions 28 to 507 of the family's 1533-position model. The record is from RNAcentral.